Haliotis rubra (blacklip abalone) is the source of this 128-nucleotide long non-coding RNA. RefSeq lists it as uncharacterized. NCBI's taxonomy places the organism in Eukaryota, Metazoa, Mollusca, Gastropoda, Lepetellida, Haliotidae. The record is from RefSeq and is a predicted model, not a curated record. The transcript has 4 exons.
ACCACAAAGGCUGUCUGUCACUAAUAGAGCUGUGACAAUAUAUCCUAGUAUCGAUAAUUGUGAUACUUUAUCUGACGAUAAAUAUAUCGAUACGUUUUUUCGUAUCGUGAUAUGUAUCGUUGACCUUA